GAAGUAGGAAAGGGCGCAUGGGGAAUGCCUAGGCUCCCGGAGGCGAAGAAGGACGCGGCAAGCUGCGAAAAGUUGCGGGGAUUGGCAGGCACGAGUUGAUCCGCAAGUAUCUGAAUGGGGCAACCC
This 126-nucleotide ribosomal RNA is filed under the name uncultured Bacteroidales bacterium. Its description in RNAcentral is "partial 23S ribosomal RNA". It matches the Rfam family "Bacterial large subunit ribosomal RNA", at positions 1 to 129 of the family's 2925-position model. Lineage: Bacteria; Pseudomonadati; Bacteroidota; Bacteroidia; Bacteroidales. The record is from RNAcentral.